AUGCCUGGCUGCGGCCCGCAGCUAUCAAGAGCUGAUGGGCGGAUUAGCCGUGGGCACCCGGAGCCGGAGCCGGGGCGCUGGAACCAACAGCGGCAGCCCAGGGAAACCGGGGUCCGGCCACCACCCCGGUGUGGGGGGAGGGGGGAAGCAGGCGGAGGAGGACCAGCUGGCACACCGUCUCUGGGACCACGAACCCAGCCCCCGCGAGGGCCUCCCUGGCCCCGCGACCCACAGAAAGCCUGGUUCUGGGUGCGCUGGGUUCCCCCGCCUGACUCCCGCCUGGGCAGAAAGGGGCUGAAGAUGGGGAACCCGGGGGCCGGUGGGGCCCGCCAGGUUCCAGGAAGGCAGGGGCCGGGGCACAGUAGGUUCGCGUGGCCACGUGGCCAGGGCGUCUGUCACCUCACUCCCCGGCCCACCGCAGCAGUCCCGUCUCUGGAGGCCACGGGGUGGGAGCGGGUGAGCCCCGGCCUGGAGGCAGGUGUCCUGGGAGGGCAGAGCCCAAGGCAGCUGGGGGGGUGGGGGCACUUGUGGCCCAGGCCUCGGGGCCACGUCCACCGCGGCCUGUGCUGCUCACCCAGCCCCACCGUGGACGAUGUGCCUGGCGCCUCCCUGGGGCCACACCCCCUGGGCCCUGCUCCCCACUCCCCGCGGGCCCCCCCGUUUCUGCUCCCCUCACGCCCGCCACUCAGCUGUGCCCGUCCGGGUGGGCAGCUGCCGGCAGGACCCGGUCAGACGCCCCCGACCUCCUCUGCCAUCAGAGCCCAGGUGACGACACACGGGCCCUGCCCACCGGCCGCGACCUGGGGGCCCCCCAACCUCUCUCGCCCCUCUGGUCCCACACGGGGAGGCAGGCAGGGAGCAACGGUCCGGGUCUCCACGUCUCUGAAGGCGGGCACGUCCUGGGCCUGGGGCCUUCUGCUCCCUCCAGCCAGGCCGGCCCGGGCCCCAUCCUCCGCCCCUCCCCCCCCACCCCCCCCCCCCGCAGCCUCCAAACUGGCCAAGCUCUGCAAGGUCCCUACAGAGGAGGCCCAGUGUGCAAGACGGUAG
Molecule: long non-coding RNA, 1047 nt
Filed under: Felis catus (domestic cat)
Lineage: Eukaryota; Metazoa; Chordata; Mammalia; Carnivora; Felidae
Description: lncRNA (ENSFCAG00000048645.1)
Source: RNAcentral